RNAcentral lists this unclassified non-coding RNA (925 nucleotides) under Hevea brasiliensis (rubber tree). The record is from RNAcentral. Lineage: Eukaryota; Viridiplantae; Streptophyta; Magnoliopsida; Malpighiales; Euphorbiaceae.
AGAGAGAGCUGCUGGAAUGUACUCUGCCUUGCCCUAUGCCUUUGCACAUGUCCUCAUUGAGCUACCAUAUAAUUUUGUGCAAGCUUUGAUAUAUGGUGUUAUAGUCUAUACAAUGGUUGGUUUUGAAUUGACUACUGUGAAAUUCUUUUGGUAUUUAUUCUUCAUGUACUUCACAUUUUUGUACUUCACCUUCUAUGGCAUGAUGGCUGUGGGUGUAUCACCAAACCACCACAUCUCGUCUAUAAUUUCUUCCGCAUUUUAUGCAAUAUGGAACCUAUUUUCCGGAUUCAUAAUCCCAAGACCAGUAAGUUCUUUCAAGCAUAAUUCCUUUUCCAUACUACAUUUCUAAUGUGCAUAGUUAUGAUGUUCUUUAAUUUUGUUCUUUCAUUUCUCCACCUGCUAUAAAACAGAGGAUGCCUGCAUGGUGUUCAUGGUACUAUUGGAUAUGUCCAGUAGCUUGGACCUUAUACGGAUUGGUUACAUCACAGUUUGGAGAUAUAAAGGAGACGCUUGAAAUAGGUGAAACAGUGGAACAUUUCGUGGCGGAUUAUUUCGGUUUCAAACACGAUUUCCUGGGAUUAGUUGCAGCUGUGAUUUUUGGAUUUGCCAUACUUUUUGCAUUUACUUUUGCAGUUUCUGUUAAGCUGUUUAAUUUCCAGAGUCGAUGAAAAUCUGCUCUGAUGUUGUAUAUUAUAGGCUAACUUGUCAAGUUCUUUUACCCCUUUCCAAUCACAUUCAGCAAAAAUCUUGUUAUGUGUUGGAAAUUAAAUAAAUUCAAAUCAAAAGGUCUAAAUUAAUUCGAUCAAAAAGUAUAACUUAGAUCUAAUUGAACAUAUAUGGAGCUUAAAUUAUUCCAUUUUUUUUAAUUGCUUAUUUAAUUAGCAUGGUCUUGUUCAUGAAAAUGAAAGCAUUUAUUUAUUUAUUU